Molecule: long non-coding RNA, 1753 nt
Organism: Podarcis raffonei (Aeolian wall lizard)
Lineage: Eukaryota; Metazoa; Chordata; Lepidosauria; Squamata; Lacertidae
Exons: 2
Source: RefSeq, a predicted model, not a curated record
UUGACUGUUAGAGAUGCAAAACUUUAAUUAGACAAAAAAAAAGAGCAUGCUCAUGAGAUGAGGCAAAUCAUCAAAAGGGCUUCCGACAGCAGCAUAUGAAAAACCAGAGAUUUGUUUCGAGAAUGUUCAUACAAUGCCUUGUACAUUUAACUCUUGUUAGCACACACUCAAGUUUGCUAAGUUUUGUAUAAGAUUGGCGUUUAAUUCAGUUAAACAGACGGUGACGGUAGUCACUGUAUUAAAUGCCUCCAUUUCUGUAUCUGCGUACGCACACACAACCUGAUAGUUGAAUCUGUAAAUUAUCAGUCAGCGAUUUCUAGUUAUUGUUGUGUUGUAUCAGCCAACUAGACUUGAUUAAAUCCCACGUAGAGUUAACCAAGACCACAAAAGCUAAACUUAAAACAUAUUAGCAAACGACAGAGCUGUGAAGUGAGACGAAGAUUAUGAUGAUAUACUGAGUAAUUGGAUACCUAUAGUACACUUUUGUAAAUGUCAGUGAACUAGACCGUCUAAUGCCUUACCACUGAGGUAGUGUUAGUGGUCACAUUAAGCACAGGUUUUCUGAAAAUAUAAGUGCCAAAUUACUUUUUAGUUUGCAAAAUGGAAUUGUGUAUGAAAUAAACAUUACACUGAGGCCGAUUUGUGACAGAAAACUCUUUAUGUCAAACACAGUUAGCUUAGCAGUGUUGAUGGGCCUUCUUUAAGGUCCUAAGAUUUCAUGCGCCAACCAUAAAUAAUUAUUUAACAACUAAUAGGGCAAGGCCAGGAAUAUAAUAGCUUUUAUGUUGAAAUUAACAUCAAGUGAUCUGUAGACAUCUGCUCGGCAAGCCAAAUGUAGUCUUCAUGUUGCAUGUUUUGCCUCACUGCCUCAAAAUAACAAGCAGUCUUUCUAUUUGGAGGGGCAGUUUUCCUUGUUAAAAAUAAAGUGGGGGUCGGGGGAGGAAGCCUACUGAAAGAAAAUUGCUUACACUUUAAGGAUUGAGAGUGUGGUGAGCAUUAAACAGCCCUGCAGAUUUAAAUAAUGUGAAAUGUAAAAGGUUCAGCUUUGCAGAUGCUUUUCUUUCCUGAUGUAUGUACAGAGCUAUUUCAAGAACAAUAAGGAGAUUUUGCUUGUCAUUUUUCUCGCGCAGGUGAGGAUGUUGAACAAUGCAGUCGAAGGGUAGGACAGUGUAAAUCUACCUCAGUGAAUUUAGGUCUCCCCUCCCUCAAGAAGGUCAAAGAUGUUGGACAUCUCUUCCCUCCUUGCUGUUCUGCCCUCCAACAACUGCACUGCCUUCCACUUUCUACCUUUCAAAAAUCAUGUUUUUAUCCUCUUUCGUCAGCUUGUGAACAGACUGAACUUGGAUUGGUGUGGGUUUGUAUUUGUCAUGAUCGGAUAAUUCCCCCCCCCCAAACCUGAUUUCUUAGAUUUAAUUUUAUGUGCCAUGUCCUGAGCUUAGGAACCAUGAUCUGUUUUUGCUGAAAGCGCAUCUUGCAGUGUUUAACACAAAGUUCUUAGCACUGCUGCAAAGGCGCAAGCCAGACCUGUGAGAAGAGGGCAAAGAGCAACCCAUGAAGAUCCUUCAGAACCAUACACCAUGCUAAGUACAAAUAGGAAGGUACCCUCAUUGGAGAGAUGGAUUGAGAAGCAAGGACCGUGUGCAUUGGGAAUCUUUAAAAAGUAGCAGCAGUGAUGAAGGCCAUAGGGAGACAGCUGGAAAGUAUGAAGGAAUGGAGAAUUUGAAGAAGGAGGGAGAACAAACAGCAGUCAUAG